AUAUAGAGCGUGUUUGAGUUGAUCGGUGAAAGAAGUUAUAAGUGUUUAUUUUACAAAAUGUACACAAAUCCGUUCAGUCGAACGCACAGCAACGUGCGUCAAGUUAUUGAUCGCUUUCUUUCAAUCGUGAGUGACAAGAAGUCUAAAAAUGGGCUGAAGAGGAAUGGUUCAGUUACAUCUUCGUCGUCAUCUAGCAGCAGUAGUUCUUCAAACCUCAAAAUGAAUUACCCCUUUGGCAGUGAUAGGAAACUAGUUCACUUUGAUAAAUGAACAUAUUUGUGCCAAUUUGGAUAAAAUCCAGUAUUCAAAUGUCAUGGAUUUCUAUUUACAAUUUGUAACUGGUGAUCCCUGUCCAGAGAACAAAUAGAGGCAUAGGUUUCCGAUGUAGAAGAAAAUCAACUACUCAAUAAAAAGAAACUGCAACUAUGGUUACAAAACAAGGAUUCCAAUAGAAAUGGGAUUUUCUGAUUAUUAAUAGAAAUGUAGUAAACUCUAAGUGUUCCAGCUCACACUUUCAACUAGACUAGAGUAAUACAAUGAUCCAAUGUGAACAUAAGGAUAAUAAAAUUUGAACAAUGAAUUA
Molecule: long non-coding RNA, 583 nt
Organism: Leptinotarsa decemlineata (Colorado potato beetle)
Lineage: Eukaryota; Metazoa; Arthropoda; Insecta; Coleoptera; Chrysomelidae
Source: RefSeq, a predicted model, not a curated record